UACGUAGGGUGCAAGCGUUAAUCGGAAUUACUGGGCGUAAAGCGUGCGCAGGCGGUUGUGCAAGACCGAUGUGAAAUCCCCGGGCUUAACCUGGGAAUGGCAUUGGUGACUGCACGGCUAGAGUGUGUCAGAGGGGGUAGAAUUCCACGUGUAGCAGUGAAAUGCGUAGAGAUGUGGAGGAAUACCGAUGGCGAAGGCAGCCCC
RNAcentral lists this ribosomal RNA (204 nucleotides) under uncultured bacterium. RNAcentral describes it as "partial 16S ribosomal RNA". It matches the Rfam family "Bacterial small subunit ribosomal RNA", at positions 524 to 728 of the family's 1533-position model. The record is from RNAcentral.